RNAcentral lists this ribosomal RNA (180 nucleotides) under uncultured bacterium. RNAcentral describes it as "partial 16S ribosomal RNA". It matches the Rfam family "Bacterial small subunit ribosomal RNA", at positions 333 to 508 of the family's 1533-position model. The record is from RNAcentral.
AGACUCCUACGGGAGGCAGCAGUGAGGAAUAUUGGUCAAUGGACGAGAGUCUGAACCAGCCAAGUAGCGUGCAGGAUGACGGCCCUAUGGGUUGUAAAACUGCUUUUAUAAGGGAAUAAAAGUGAGUCUCGUGAGACUUUUUGCAUGUACCUUAUGAAUAAGGACCGGCUAAUUCCGUGC